RNAcentral lists this ribosomal RNA (1372 nucleotides) under uncultured bacterium. Its description in RNAcentral is "bacterial SSU rRNA". It matches the Rfam family "Bacterial small subunit ribosomal RNA", at positions 28 to 1381 of the family's 1533-position model. The record is from RNAcentral.
GAUGAACGCUGGCGGCGUGCCUAAUACAUGCAAGUCGAGCGAACGGACGAGAAGCUUGCUUCUCUGAUGUUAGCGGCGGACGGGUGAGUAACACGUGGAUAACCUACCCAUAAGACUGGGAUAACUUCGGGAAACCGGGGCUAAUACCGGAUAAUAUUUUGAACCGCAUGGUUCAAAAGUGAAAGACGGUCUUGCUGUCACUUAUGGAUGGAUCCGCGCUGCAUUAGCUAGUUGGUAAGGUAACGGCUUACCAAGGCAACGAUGCAUAGCCGACCUGAGAGGGUGAUCGGCCACACUGGAACUGAGACACGGUCCAGACUCCUACGGGAGGCAGCAGUAGGGAAUCUUCCGCAAUGGGCGAAAGCCUGACGGAGCAACGCCGCGUGAGUGAUGAAGGUCUUCGGAUCGUAAAACUCUGUUAUUAGGGAAGAACAUAUGUGUAAGUAACUGUGCACAUCUUGACGGUACCUAAUCAGAAAGCCACGGCUAACUACGUGCCAGCAGCCGCGGUAAUACGUAGGUGGCAAGCGUUAUCCGGAAUUAUUGGGCGUAAAGCGCGCGUAGGCGGUUUUUUAAGUCUGAUGUGAAAGCCCACGGCUCAACCGUGGAGGGUCAUUGGAAACUGGAAAACUUGAGUGCAGAAGAGGAAAGUGGAAUUCCAUGUGUAGCGGUGAAAUGCGCAGAGAUAUGGAGGAACACCAGUGGCGAAGGCGACUUUCUGGUCUGUAACUGACGCUGAUGUGCGAAAGCGUGGGGAUCAAACAGGAUUAGAUACCCUGGUAGUCCACGCCGUAAACGAUGAGUGCUAAGUGUUAGGGGGUUUCCGCCCCUUAGUGCUGCAGCUAACGCAUUAAGCACUCCGCCAGGGGAGUACGACCGCAAGGUUGAAACUCAAAGGAAUUGACGGGGACCCGCACAAGCGGUGGAGCAUGUGGUUUAAUUCGAAGCAACGCGAAGAACCUUACCAAAUCUUGACAUCCUUUGACAACUCUAGAGAUAGAGCCUUCCCCUUCGGGGGACAAAGUGACAGGUGGUGCAUGGUUGUCGUCAGCUCGUGUCGUGAGAUGUUGGGUUAAGUCCCGCAACGAGCGCAACCCUUAAGCUUAGUUGCCAUCAUUAAGUUGGGCACUCUAAGUUGACUGCCGGUGACAAACCGGAGGAAGGUGGGGAUGACGUCAAAUCAUCAUGCCCCUUAUGAUUUGGGCUACACACGUGCUACAAUGGACAAUACAAAGGGCAGCGAAACCGCGAGGUCAAGCAAAUCCCAUAAAGUUGUUCUCAGUUCGGAUUGUAGUCUGCAACUCGACUACAUGAAGCUGGAAUCGCUAGUAAUCGUAGAUCAGCAUGCUACGGUGAAUACGUUCCCGGGUCU